ACAUCAUCAACACAGCCCAGAAACCAUUAACACCCAAUCUGCCGCAAGCAAGGAAAAGGGACAGAUUCACUCAAUUGUUUGGCUCUUCAUUCUGAGUUGUUGAACAAUUUUAGGUGUAUUCUAUCUUAUAUUUCAAUGUCUAAUUCAUGUAAUCUUUGUUUUGCUUUAAGUAUGAUUGGCUAAAUUCGUUUUGGCUAAGGGUGUAUUCAAAACCAUGAUUAUAUAUGUGAAAUAAGUUGAUUACUUCCAGUUAUCGUUGCAUAAGUCGUGAAUACAAUUUGCUUAACCAUUUGAUUUAGAACUUAUUCUUGUAUGUUGAUUGAGAGUGCACGCUUAAUUUGCAUGCUUGAAUUUGGUGCUAGG
Molecule: long non-coding RNA, 363 nt
Filed under: Malus domestica (apple)
Lineage: Eukaryota; Viridiplantae; Streptophyta; Magnoliopsida; Rosales; Rosaceae
Description: long non-coding RNA (MDOM_LNC021059)
Source: RNAcentral